Molecule: ribosomal RNA, 169 nt
Filed under: uncultured bacterium
Lineage: Bacteria
Description: partial 16S ribosomal RNA
Source: RNAcentral
AUUACCGCGGCUGCUGGUGCGGAAUAUUGCGGGGCCUACGAAAACCUGAUGCACGGAAUUUUCGUGAAUGAACGAAAUUCCGACCGAUCAACUUCGCGCGAACGAAGAAAUAUGACGGUACCUGACUCUUUUAUCCCGGCUAACUACGUGCCUUGCCCCGCCCUAAUGA